RNAcentral lists this unclassified non-coding RNA (485 nucleotides) under Hevea brasiliensis (rubber tree). Lineage: Eukaryota; Viridiplantae; Streptophyta; Magnoliopsida; Malpighiales; Euphorbiaceae. The record is from RNAcentral.
CAAAUUGGAAGGAAUGUUCAAGGAUAUUGAAUUGUCAAAAGAGAUAAAUGAAUCCUUUAAGCAAUCUUCUCAAGCCAGGAAAAAACUCCCAACAGGAAUUGAGAUGAGUGUUCAUGUAUUAACCACAGGGUACUGGCCAACUUAUCCGCCCAUGGAUGUUCGGCUUCCCCAUGAACUCAAUAUCUAUCAGGAUAUUUUCAAGGAAUUCUACUUGAGCAAAUACAGCGGUAGGCGGUUGAUGUGGCAAAAUUCUUUGGGACAUUGUGUUCUAAAAGCAGAGUUUCCCAAGGGUAAAAAAGAGCUGGCAGUGUCUCUGUUUCAGGCUGUUGUUUUAAUGCUUUUUAAUGAUGCGGAAAAGCUUAGCUUUCUAGAUAUGAUGGAAGCAACUCGAAUUGAGGAUAAAGAGCUCAGGAGAACUUUACAGUCUCUUGCAUGUGGUAAAGUUCGUGUUCUCCAGAAGAUUCCAAAAGGAAGAGAUGUGGAAG